RNAcentral lists this ribosomal RNA (263 nucleotides) under uncultured bacterium. Its description in RNAcentral is "partial 16S ribosomal RNA". It matches the Rfam family "Bacterial small subunit ribosomal RNA", at positions 793 to 1055 of the family's 1533-position model. The record is from RNAcentral.
GUCCACGCCGUAAACGAUGGGCACUAGGUCCUUGGGGAGCGACCCCUUGAGGGCCGGCGCUAACGCAUUAAGUGCCCCGCCUGGGGAGUACGGCCGCAAGGCUGAAACUCAAAGGAAUUGACGGGGCCCGCACAAGCGGUGGAGCAUGUGGUUUAAUUCGACGCAACGCGAAGAACCUUACCUGGGCUUGACAUGCACGGGAACUCGUGGGGAAACCUGCGGGGCUCUUCGGAGCUCGUGCACAGGUGCUGCAUGGCUGUCGU